This 23-nucleotide transfer RNA is filed under the name Limia heterandria. RNAcentral describes it as "partial tRNA-Glu". RNAcentral also lists the same sequence under 4 other names. The record is from RNAcentral. Lineage: Eukaryota; Metazoa; Chordata; Actinopteri; Cyprinodontiformes; Poeciliidae.
UAAGGGUUCUUGUAGUUGAAUUA